UUCACAUAAGUUUUCAAUUUUCCAGACCAUUAUAGAACUUCUUAGCAUUUCCUCUGAUUCUUAGUCACCGCGUAAACCCUUCCCUACCAAAACUUUCCAGCCUUCUUCUUCAUCCGGUGUCUCUAUUUUUUUUAUAGAAAUCACAGUAUGGCAAAUGAGGGAUCAUCAAAUCCUCCCAGCAGUGAUGUUGGAUGGAUAUAUUAUACUCGAGGACAAGGAAGUGUUGUACUCAAAAGAAGAAGUUGAAGGGCAUGCCCUAUUACUAGACAAUGAGGAUUAUGAUUAUAUUCGGGAAGAGGCACAGCAGAAUGAUAGAUGUUUUCUUGAUGCUUUUAGCUUUUUUUUAUUAUAUGUCUUAUUGGGACUUAUUUAGCUAAUUAACUUUUAACUUAUUUUGAUUAUGUGCCUCACUAGGACUUGUUUAGCUAAUUAGCUUUCAACUGUUUUUAGUAUUUUUUGACUAUAUUGUCUUGAAUAAUUUAACUUAUGAGAUAAUAUUAUGUUAAUGUUUGUCCAGCUUAUUUUUAUUUGCAUAUAGCAUGCUUUUUUUUAUAUACA
Molecule: long non-coding RNA, 558 nt
Organism: Glycine soja
Lineage: Eukaryota; Viridiplantae; Streptophyta; Magnoliopsida; Fabales; Fabaceae
Exons: 2
Source: RefSeq, a predicted model, not a curated record